This 300-nucleotide ribosomal RNA is filed under the name uncultured Colwelliaceae bacterium. RNAcentral's name for it is "bacterial SSU rRNA". It matches the Rfam family "Bacterial small subunit ribosomal RNA", at positions 115 to 418 of the family's 1533-position model. The record is from RNAcentral. Lineage: Bacteria; Pseudomonadati; Pseudomonadota; Gammaproteobacteria; Alteromonadales; Colwelliaceae.
GCUUGGGAAUAUGCCUUUAGGUGGGGGACAACAGUUGGAAACGACUGCUAAUACCGCAUAAUGUCUACGGACCAAAGAGGGGGACCUUCGGGCCUCUUGCAUUUAGAUGAGCCUGCGUCGGAUUAGCUUGUUGGCGGGGUAAUGGCCCACCAAGGCGACGAUCCGUAGCUGGUCUGAGAGGAUGAUCAGCCACACUGGGACUGAGACACGGCCCAGACUCCUACGGGAGGCAGCAGUGGGGAAUAUUGGACAAUGGGCGCAAGCCUGAUCCAGCAAUACCUCGUGUGUGAAGAAGGCCUU